Molecule: long non-coding RNA, 241 nt
Filed under: Phaseolus vulgaris (common bean)
Lineage: Eukaryota; Viridiplantae; Streptophyta; Magnoliopsida; Fabales; Fabaceae
Description: long non-coding RNA (PVUL_LNC001287)
Source: RNAcentral
AGAGGAAGUAAAAGAGUUUAGAAAACAAGUGACGCACCUUUAUUUGAACAUGCAACGAAAGGGUGGUGAAGGGUUACGUAAUCCUCCGUCCGUCCAACAGCAGAACCGCGUCGGAGGAGUGGAAAAGAAAGACGAAAAACAGUAAAAGAAGAAAUAGAUUGAAGAUAAGCAUUAGGAUGAUAUGUGAGUGAGAGAUGCAACAAUGGAGCGUUCAAUUUACUGUCACUGGGGAUCAGAAGCC